This is a long non-coding RNA of Haemorhous mexicanus (house finch), 4739 nucleotides long. RefSeq lists it as uncharacterized. Lineage: Eukaryota; Metazoa; Chordata; Aves; Passeriformes; Fringillidae. The record is from RefSeq and is a predicted model, not a curated record. The transcript has 5 exons.
UUUCUGCCAUGUUCUGUAGAAAUUGUUGGUACUUCAGAACAUGCUUGAGAGAAGCAGCAUGUUGUUCUUUGAGAUUCUGAUUCGUGUUUUAUUUAACACUGCAGAUGAGGAAGGUGCUGGUUUGCACCACUAUUAUGCCUGAUUUGGGAGAAAUUGUCUCUGUGAUCCCACUGAAGUGGAAUGUGCUCCAAAGGAGGAGGUGUUUGGAGACCAGGAGAGCUGGGGUUUUCGUACUGUGACUCAGGAGCCAUGCAAGCAAUGUGACAACUACUGGAAAACACCUGUUAGUAUCAGAGACAGCAUCAGCCUGGGGAUACUUGUGAGGGGAUCUGCAACCUGCUUUGAGCUUGGUUACAGUCACACCUAAUUCUGACGUGGAUUCUGCUGCAGCAUUGUUGAACCUCUGAUACUGCUGGUUUCUAAGAGAAGAAUUUUAAAUUUAUGUUGAGGUAGGACAGGCAUGGAGGUCUAAAGACACAUGGUGAAAUACACAGUGCUUCUGAAAUCUGCUGAUGAAUGAAGGGUGGUGUGAGCCACAGCCUGCAAGCUGCACAAUGGUGAGUAAAGGUAAUGGUGACAGACUGAGGCUCCAAAUGAAUAGCAGUUGUCUGCUGCACCUUAGCUUUCUAACAUAAUGGUUAUGAAGUCAGAAAGAUGAAACUUGUUCCAUUUAGUGGCAUUUCUCUUCUGAUGGGAGUGGUGGUUACAGAUACAACAGCAGAAUGCAAGAGCCAGGGUGUGGCUUUCUUUCCUUACCAUUGCUCUGUGUGGACACCUGUAUUUGUGAGAGGAAUAUCCAGCUCCUUUGACUGGAUAUGAGCAGUUCUGCCCACUGAUCGUUCAGAGUUUCUCCCCUCUGGUAAGGACAGUAAAUUUUCUCAAGCAUUUUCUUCUACAGACCUAGGAAGGCCUAUUUUUUCAUUCUUUAUUUUUAUUUUAAGUUGGAUUACUUUUGCUCCCUUUAUGGCCUAUAGAGUUGACUGUGUUUGCUUUCACCUCUCUUCCACUGGGCAAGAAGCCAGACCAUGACUCUUGGUGGAGGGAUGCAGACUUUGUGGUAAAAUGGAAUAUCUGGUAAGAUAUAUAGCACUGUCCACAGCAUAAAUUCUUAGGAACAUGGGAAGUAUAGUAAAUAUCAACAUAUGAGCACCAAGGUGCCCAUGCAGCCCUCAUGCAAUUCUCAGGGAUUGAAACUGAGCCCAUGGGAUGUGUCUGGAAGAUCAUGUUAAAGUAAAACUUUCCAAUCAUGUUAAAUCUAGACUUCCUGUAUUUAAGUGUAAACUACCUAAUAAUUUAUGCCCAAGUGUCUUUACAGUACUACAAGGGAUCUUUUCACCAGGAUUUAGUUGUGGUCAGAAAUACGUGAAUGUGUGACAACAUCUUCUGUUGUAAUAGACAAAUUUUUGCUCUCUGUAACUAAACCAUGACCCCACAGGGGGAGAGAAGAAGCAAAAGUACAUAUCUCACUUGAGGGAACAGUUUGCUGCUGUUAUCUUUAGGGGGUUUGCCAUCUGUGAAUUUAGCCUAAUAUACCUUAUCCUUAAAAUAAUGUCAAUCACCUCCUCAGCCAAUCUUAGUAUUGAGAGUAGAUUUAUUUUUUUUUUCCAAGUUAUACACAAACUGUUUAUACAUUAUGGUUCGGUUGUGACACAUUUAUAACUUGGCUGAACAAAGAAAAGUAUUUUUUUCCUAUAUGACUGCUUAGCACACAAACUCAGAGUGACUGGCAAAGCUGAAAAAAAAAUUUCUUUAAGAGAAAAUAAACCAAAGCAUGUUAUUUAGAAGAGAAGGGAGAGGGGAGUUUUUUAUUACAAUCUCCUUAAGGGAAAAAGUGGGGAAAUCCCCUAAUGUUGUUAGCAUGACACAAGAUCUUGUGUUUGAAGACUUGCAGAAGUGUAUCUCAUGUGAUGACUAAUCUCAUUUGUCUUUUCUAUUUUUCUGUCACCAUAACUGUGAUGUUUGAGGACAGCUGGUGUCCUCAGAGCUAAGCCAUCCUGUGUUUGUUUGUUCCAUAUAAGUCUAGAGACUGAGCCAGCAAGGGUGGCAGUGCAGCCAAACCUGGAGUGCAGAGUCUUGUUCCUAAUGCCCUGACAACAGGGCUUUCAAGGUGAGUUGUCUUAUGACCUUGGGCCUCCUUGGGCUUGGGGACAAUAAUUCUUUCUGAAAAGACACAUCCAGCAAAGUUGUGUUCUCAAUCCAGAUGGAGGCAGUGAAGCUCAGGAACUCGACUCUAUGGACAUCUGGAUUAGAGGCAGAGAUGAAUUUGGUGCUCAAUAUUGUUCCCCUGCAUCAAAGGGAUAUAUUUAGGUAACCUCCCACUAGAAGGUGAAAUAGGAGCUUUCCUUUCCCCUGUUUUUUAAUUGAGAGAGCUCUGCUGGGCACAAUGUUAAGUUCUCCUCCCCAUAUUCGUAGUGUGUUUUUUUCCCCCUAAUAUUUUAGAGUUUUGUACUGAAAGUGAGUUUUAAAUGUUGAAGGAUAAUGUGGGAGUUUCUGAAACUGAACACGUAAACAUAUGCUGGGAUUGUCUUAUUUAAGACAUUCCUUGUUUGCCACAAAGGAAUAAGAGGACUCCAAAAAAUAUAUUGCACUUAGCUAUAGCUGUCAUGAAUGGUAGAGGAGGUCCCAUAAAGGGGCUGAAGGUAUUUUAUUCUAUCCAUUUGUCAGACUAAUCACUGUCUUGUGAGAGAGGUUAUUUCAGUAAAAAAUGAAAGUCAGCUCUCAAGUGAGAAGGAAAUGAAUGAUGUGAAGAGACACCUGACUCAUAAUUAACUCUGUUCGACAGGUGAGCAUGCACAUUGUUAUAUAAUAUUGUAUGAACAUAGUUUAAAGGUAGUGUAGGGUGAGUCACAAAUUCUGCAUUCUCCAACUUUAUAAGGCAUUGCAUGAAGUGAUUUUUCUCCUCCUAGAUGAUGAAUUACUUUGAGUAGCAAAAAAACACUUUUUUGUGUCAUAUCCUGCUGGUUGUUAAGUACAACUCUUGCAUGUCUCCAUCUCCCUCAAAAGUCUCCAGAUGACUCAAAAAAGAAAAAAAAGGAAUGAGAAACUGGAAUAUUUUUUAAGAAUACGUUGUAUUCAGUGCAUUUUCAGAAUCCAAAUUCCUCUCAUAUGUAUUUCAGAAGCUCUUGAUGGUAGUGUCCUUCCACAGUGAGUAUAUUACUGUGUUCAUUGAGUUAUUGUCACUGUUGAUUUUAAAAGUCUUAAGGUUAUUUCAUAGACAAACAAAUCAUGCUGAGGUCAAAGCAAGUUUAAUAACACUUCUUGUUGAAUUCUAAAAUACAAGAGGAUCAUUCUGCUUGAGUACUUGGCAGCUGUGAAGUGUUUUAAUGAACAGAGCUUUAUUUCUAUAUGACUAUUAAAGCAAACAGUGUUGGUGAAUGUACAUGUUUGUACAGCAAGCAGAAAUCUCUUGUGCAGACUUUUUGCACUUCUCUCUCUUUCAAGAACAUUUUUUCUCAAGGGAUGCAGCCUGGAGCCCAUGGAAUGAUUUUGUAGUGCAAAGAUGCCAAGGCCUGGUUAGUAAAGAGUUUUUAAGUGCAAGUGCCCACAGCUGCAGAAUGUGUUCCUGUCCCUUUGCUCUGGCUGUUCUAACCAGAAAACCCUUCUGCCUGUUCCCUAGCAAUGCACUGGCUCCAAACCUGCAGCAGAGAGUGGUACCCUGGGGUUCAUCUUAACAGAAUGCACAGGAAGGAGGAAAAUGUACAUUUUGCCUCAGCAGCUGCUCAUCACCACCUUUAUAAUUCAGUUCUGCACUGCAUUGGAAAUGUUGCAUCCCCAGGCUUGGAUAUGUCUCUGACCCAAGAGAGGUGCUCAGAGGAGAGAAGGAAGCUUAAUGAGAUUCAGUGCCUAGUCUGGUAAGUCUCCAUGUGACUCCUUGUGUUGAGCCCAGUCUAGUUAUUGCUGUGAAGGAACAAGCUUUAUAUGAUCAGGAACAAGGACACUGAUGUCUUCUAUGCUUUCUUUCUGAAAAAGAAACAAAAUUAAAACCAGACAACAUAAUUUGGCCUCUGCUGGCUCAAGACUUCGGAGCAGAAUAGGGAAAAUUUAAUAGGACCUUUUACUAUCCCGAGAACAAAUGAUUUUGUCCUCAUUAAUGAAAUGGCAAAAUGGACUUGCAGCAGAGGCAGAGCAGUUGUGUUAAGGAUCAUUGCCCCUGAAAAGGCUGGAGGGGGAUGGGGAUGAGUGAGCCCUACAGCUCCAGCUGUGCCCCACUCUUCUGCUUGGCAGGGCCCCGCGGGACAGGAUGGAGAUGUGGGCAGAGGGAUGGGAGGAGCAGGGGGCACCUCCCUCUACUGCAGGACAGGCUGCCCUCAGGGGCACAGAGCAGGGCUGCCUGCAGCAGCACCUCUGGGCUGCUCCCUGGGCUGGGGCAUCUUCUGUGCACUGAAGCAGCUGCACAGGGGGACAUGGAGGGGGAAGAUUGCUCAGCCAGCACCAGGGGUUUCGAGUAUUUGUUUUGCUCAUUUUCUAAAAGAGUCCUGACUCGAAAGCUUUUUCAGCAGCUGCAGAAAUCUACAGUCUUUAGCUCACAGCCCAGUCUGUCAUUUUGUGUUACAUCAUGUACUAUUCCAGGAGGUAGAGCUGCCUAUGAUUUCAUAGCACAGUUGAUUUUCUAGCUUAAUUCCUCAAGGGACCUUAAAGGAAAUGGAAACCCACAAAUAAAAUGAAGAAAUUAAAAUAAAUUACUAACUCUAAAAUGCAGCAUUUAUUUGGAUUAAUAAAAUACAAAAUUGUAAUGACCC